AACGUAGGAGACGAACGUUAUCCGGAGUUACUGGGCGUAAAGGGCUCGUAGGCGGCCAACUAAGUCAGACGUGAAAUCCCUCGGCUUAACCGGGGAACUGCGUCUGAUACUGGAUGGCUUGAGUUUGGGAGAGGGAUGCGGAAUUCCAGGUGUAGCGGUGAAAUGCGUAGAUAUCUGGAGGAACACCGGUGGCGAAGGCGGCAUCCUGGACCAACACUGACGCUGAGGAGCGAAAGCCAGGGGAGCAAACGGG
RNAcentral lists this ribosomal RNA (253 nucleotides) under uncultured bacterium. RNAcentral describes it as "partial 16S ribosomal RNA". It matches the Rfam family "Bacterial small subunit ribosomal RNA", at positions 524 to 776 of the family's 1533-position model. The record is from RNAcentral.